GACGUAGGGCGCAAGCGUUGUCCGGAUUUAUUGGGCGUAAAGAGCUCGUAGGCGGCUUGUUGCGUCGACUGUGAAAAACCACGUCUCAACCGUGGGACUGCAGUCGAUACGGGCAGGCUAGAGUUCGGUAGGGGAGACUGGAAUUCCUGGUGUAGCGGUGAAAUGCGCAGAUAUCAGGAGGAACACCGGUGGCGAAGGCGGGUCUCUGGACAGUUCCUGACGCUGAGGCACGAAGGCCAGGGGAGCAAACGGG
RNAcentral lists this ribosomal RNA (253 nucleotides) under uncultured bacterium. RNAcentral's name for it is "partial 16S ribosomal RNA". It matches the Rfam family "Bacterial small subunit ribosomal RNA", at positions 524 to 776 of the family's 1533-position model. The record is from RNAcentral.